RNAcentral lists this ribosomal RNA (466 nucleotides) under uncultured bacterium. Its description in RNAcentral is "bacterial SSU rRNA". It matches the Rfam family "Bacterial small subunit ribosomal RNA", at positions 338 to 795 of the family's 1533-position model. The record is from RNAcentral.
CCUACGGGAGGCACCAGUGGGGAAUAUUGGACAAUGGGGGGAACCCUGAUCCAGCCAUGCCGCGUGUGUGAAGAAGGCCUUAUGGUUGUAAAGCACUUUAAGCGAGGAGGAGGCUACUUUAGUUAAUACCUAGAGAUAGUGGACGUUACUCGCAGAAUAAGCACCGGCUAACUCUGUGCCAGCAGCCGCGGUAAUACAGAGGGUGCGAGCGUUAAUCGGAUUUACUGGGCGUAAAGCGUGCGUAGGCGGCUUAUUAAGUCGGAUGUGAAAUCCCCGAGCUUAACUUGGGAAUUGCAUUCGAUACUGGUGAGCUAGAGUAUGGGAGAGGAUGGUAGAAUUCCAGGUGUAGCGGUGAAAUGCGUAGAGAUCUGGAGGAAUACCGAUGGCGAAGGCAGCCAUCUGGCCUAAUACUGACGCUGAGGUACGAAAGCAUGGGGAGCAAACAGGAUUAGAUACCCUAGUAGUC